This 255-nucleotide ribosomal RNA is filed under the name uncultured bacterium. RNAcentral describes it as "partial 16S ribosomal RNA". It matches the Rfam family "Bacterial small subunit ribosomal RNA", at positions 524 to 776 of the family's 1533-position model. The record is from RNAcentral.
UACGGUAGGGGCAAGUGUUAUUCAUAUUGAAUGGGCGUAAAGGGUACGUAGACGGUUAAUUAAAUUAAAUUGUUUAAAAAUUAUAGCUUAACUAUAAAGGAAAUAAUUUAAAAAUAAACUAAGAGUUAAAUUCAGGUUAAAAGAAUUUUUAAGGUAACAGUAAAAUGUUGUAAGAUUAAAAGGAAUAUCAAAGGCGAAGGCUUUUUUCUGGAAUUAAACUGACGUUGAGGUACGAAGGCAUAGGGAGCAAACGGG